UUGGUUCUUUGUUACACUGAACCAAAUCAGGAAAUAAAAUUUACUGGGUCAUUUCAUUAAUUUUUAAUGUUAAUCGCUCAGAUACAAAGUAAUGAUUUAUCCAGUACAAGUUAUUGGAAAAUCCUAUAAAUUCUACAAAUGUAUUAUGUUGAUGAAAAACAUACUAAAAAGUAUAGGAAAAUCUAAUGAAUACCAUGAGCCUAAUAAUCCUAAUCAAAUAUAUUAGAAAAUUCAUUUCUUUUCACAUAUUUAUUUGUAAAUAGUUUAUAUAUUUUGCCCGCAAUAUCAAAAACCGUACCGUACCGUAAAUCGUCAAAAAUAUUUGGUUCCGGAUACGUUCAUAAUCAUGAUUUGUACCGUGUCUUUGCUUGUUUAGAAUGACAACAAACGAUUUUAGAAAGAUAUGUACGUUAAUGAUCAUAGACCGAAUGAAAAAAAUCGUGCAUCUGGGUAAAGUGUGCCUUAUUUGCUGCUGGUGUCACAUAUAGAGAAAAAAAACACGAGGCAUCUGAGCCUACGGUUCCGGAAAAUCCUUCAAUUUGACCAGAAAAAUUAUAAAAAGCCAAAGAAGCACUGAAGAAUAAGUGCACCGGGGAACACGGCAACGCAAGCAAUGAAGUACAGAUGCAAGGACAAACAUCACCCCCACCGUAGCGGUUCCGCCAAACAAGGUAAAACUGGGCCGCGUAGAUGCGGCAGUGGAAGCACCUAUAAUCGUCGGAGAAAUUAAAUUGUGAGAAACAACUCAAUUGCGGUACUGGAGACGGCAUCGGCAGCGAACAUUCGAAUUUGGCGGUGGUGGCAGCGAAAAAAAAAACUGUUAUUCCGAUAGACUCGAAUUUCCAGAAUUGUGCGAAAGGGACCGGUUCUAAGGCACUGUUGGCUCACCCACAGAUUCCAUCUGUUGGCUGUAGAAGUUGUUGAAUCUGAUGUCUCUGGAUCAGCGGAAUCGGUCGAAAAAAGGUUUCCGUCCUCUAGAGAACUGAAUCUUCAGGCAUUGAUUUGUGAUAUUGUGAAGAGUAUUCUUCUUUUCCUUCAACAUCGAACCUAAAGUAGAUUAGACCCGAUGCACCGAAAUUGGCCGUCAUAUUUUGGUAAUACCACCUUGCCGGACAAAUAUCGGAGCGCUUUGAAACAAGUAAACACUGGGCCGCGUAGAGGCGGCAGAAAUAAUAACAUCACCGUACAUGGUCAUAAUUUCAGCCUAUAGGCUGAAUCGUUAAUUUAUUUACAUGUUUUUGGUGCGCUUUAAAACAUUGCGGGCUUUAAAGAUCUAUGUAUCGUUUUUCGGGUGUUCAUUGUUAAACUCAUCAAGGAUUCGUGGCUGUUUUUUACACAUGGUGGAUCAAAUACGAGAUAUCUCGUUUUUCCGCUUGCCACUAAUGUGCUUCUCUCAGAAGCAUAACUCAAAUAUCAGGAACUCAAGCAUCAUAUAAACUAAAAUUACCAUGGCACAUACAUUUAAUGUCAUUUCAUUUUUU
Long non-coding RNA from Uranotaenia lowii, 1481 nucleotides. RefSeq lists it as uncharacterized. The transcript has 3 exons. Lineage: Eukaryota; Metazoa; Arthropoda; Insecta; Diptera; Culicidae. The record is from RefSeq and is a predicted model, not a curated record.